AAUAAUUAAAAAAAUUAAAUAAUAUUUAUUCUUUUUAUUGUUACUACUACUAUUAUUAUCAUUACACCUACAAUUUUACGAAACGAAUACGACUACGAUUACGAAUACAAAUGAUAAUGCUAGAAAAAAUUAAAAAAUAAUAAUAGGGG
Molecule: ribosomal RNA, 149 nt
Filed under: uncultured eukaryote
Lineage: Eukaryota
Description: partial Trypanosomatid mitochondrial large subunit ribosomal RNA
Source: RNAcentral